Molecule: unclassified non-coding RNA, 653 nt
Filed under: Leishmania donovani
Lineage: Eukaryota; Euglenozoa; Kinetoplastea; Trypanosomatida; Trypanosomatidae
Description: gene:LdHU3.22.2010(CDS-product:60S_ribosomal_prot ein_L14_putative)
Source: RNAcentral
GGUAUCGCAUUGUGCAUAAUGGUCAAGUCCCACUACAUCUGCGCGGGCCGCCUGGUGCGCAUCCUGCGUGGCCCCCGCCAGGACCGCGUUGGUGUGAUCGUCGACAUUGUCGACGCGAACCGCGUGCUGGUGGAGAACCCGGAGGACGCGAAGAUGUGGCGCCACGUGCAGAACCUGAAGAACGUGGAGCCGCUGAAGUACUGCGUGAGCGUCAGCCGCAACUGCAGCGCGAAGGCGCUGAAGGAUGCGCUGGCCUCGUCGAAGGCGCUGGAGAAGUACGCGAAGACGCGCACUGCUGCGCGCGUGGAGGCGAAGAAGGCGUGCGCCGCGUCGACGGACUUCGAGCGCUACCAGCUGCGCGUUGCGCGCCGUUCUCGCGCGCACUGGGCGCGCAAGGUGUUCGACGAGAAGGACGCGAAGACGCCCGUGUCGUGGCACAAGGUUGCGCUGAAGAAGAUGCAGAAGAAGGCCGCAAAGAUGGACUCGACCGAGGGCGCUAAGAGGCGCAUGCAGAAGGCGAUCGCUGCCCGCAAGGCGAAAAAGUAAGGCCACACCCUCACUUCGCUUGUUUCGUGAUUUUACUUUGAAAAAAAAAAAACAGAACGCAAUUCGGAAGGAGCAACCGUGAUGGCGUUUUUUCGGUGGAACGGGCU